Molecule: ribosomal RNA, 394 nt
Filed under: uncultured bacterium
Lineage: Bacteria
Description: partial 16S ribosomal RNA
Rfam family: Bacterial small subunit ribosomal RNA
Source: RNAcentral
AUACGGAGGAUGCAAGCGUUAUCCGGAUUUAUUGGGUUUAAAGGGUGCGUAGGCGGAUGAUUAAGCGUGAGGUGAAAUGCCACUGCUCAACAGUGGAACUGCCUCGCGAACUGGUUGUCUUGAAUGCUCCUGCCGUGGGAGGAAUGUGUGGUGUAGCGGUGAAAUGCAUAGAGAUCACGCAGAACACCGAUUGCGAAGGCAUCUCACGAAGGGGUGAUUGACGCUGAGGCACGAAAGCGUGGGGAUCAAACAGGAUUAGAUACCCUGGUAGUCCACGCAGUAAACGAUGAUAACUAACCGCUGGGUCGUAGUGAUUCAGUGGCCAAGCUAAAGCGAUAAGUAAUCCACCUGGGGAGUACGGCCGCAAGGUUGAAACUCAAAGGAAUUGACGGGG